UGGCAGAGACAUAGAGGGCAAGCGCUUGUGCUCCUGACCAUGCGGCUGUGCCUGUCCCUCCUGGGUGAUCAACUGGUGGGGAACAGCCUUCAAAAUGCACCACUUGUUGUGUGACAGUGUGCAAAGUAAACUGUCACCUGCCAAUCCCUAUACUAUAGAGUAUACCUAUACCUCUUUGUAUUUACUUCGUCAAAUCCCUGUGUUAGGACUGAGUAUGGCAUGAAGCAGAAGGUCUGAGCUGGCUGAACACGGUCCCCUGGGUUAGAAUCAGUGCUACUUACAAGCUCGUGACGUGUCGGGUUGGUCCCCCCUCGCGGAAGGUCCGCAAAUGGAUUUCCCCCAGCCUUGCCGAGAUAUCUUCCCAGGCUUUUUGACCAUAAAACCCUACCUGGUGCAGAGGAGGAGAACUAGCAGCAACCUCUCUGCUCGCCCUUUGCUAGAGUGCUUCAUUCUUGUUGAAGUGUCUGCCCUGCAGGCCUGGGCAGCUGGGGAGCCUCGACCCUUUUCUGCGGCAGGCUCCCAGACAGCACGAAAGAGCCCAGAAUAUGAAAACUGCCUCUCAAGAAAACAUAAAUUAUAAAGCGAAUAACAAUUGCUUUCUGCCAGGAUAUGGUUUGUGUACCCCCAAAGCAGGAGGAAAAACUACAAGAAGGAAAAGCGAGGCACUUCCCAGAGCCCUGAGGGGGCUGGUGGAGCUCCCAGUUCAACUGGGAGAGCAGCCCAGGGCAGGUUUUGCACAACAGCUUUUGUGUCUCUGCAAAUCUCCUUUCAGACACUGAAGGCUGGUGGUAGCUUCCAUGUGUGGAACAAAACCUAAAAGACUUUUAUGCUGCGGCUUAUGCGUGAUGGAGAGGCAAUGUUACAGCCUGGAGAAGGGAUUGCUCUGAAUCGUGCUUGCACAACACCCUGGCAAUAUUUGGGAAGUAAAUCGGUCCCUGCAAGCUGCUGGGGUCCUCCUGCAGAAACAUCUCCUUCUCUGGAGGGCUCAGGAAGGUGGGAGGGAGGCAGGGACCUGGGCUGCAGAGGGAGGACGGCAGCUCGCAGAGGGGUGAGCUCUGCCUGGAGUCCAUCAAUGUGCUGUGCUGAUUGGGAAUCUACUCGUUAGGCACUUGUUUGCCCUGGGAGGUGUGCUAGGUUCAGCCCUGGGACAGCUCAAGGAAAGCAAAUGCUGAGACAACAGUUGGACAAAGCUGGAUCAGUCUUUUUAGUACCCUGGCAUGAUUUGUUGCAGCUGAGUCCUUCCAGCAAAUCCUUAAGAUUUUCAGCAGCUAUAAGCUUUUUAUAGCAAAUCAGAUUUUUGCACCCAUCUGGUUGACUGGUUAUAAACAUACAUCUCUCAAGUUGGCUUGUUAGGUUUUGUCAGUAUUAAAAAGAAAACCCACAAUGCGCAGCGGAGUAUUCAUCUGUAGCUGCUUUUGAUGACUUAUGCCUCUUGCAAAUGAACACAAAUAAGCAAGAAAAGUGGUUUGCUUAUGAAAUCCUGAAGAAAAAAGCCUAAAACCCAGCAAAGUGACAGGUGGGCUUGUGGAAAACACCCAGGCAGGCUGACCAUGGUUGCUAAUGUAGGUUGACUCUUGGGUGGUGUUGGCCUUUUCGUUGGAUUCAAUGAUCACAUCUACAAAGGGUCUGAAGUGUUUUUGCUGAUUCUAGCAGCAUGGCUGAAAAAGGGUCUCAGCAGUUUGAGACCUCACUGCUGGUUCAAGGUGUAGCUCAGGACAGAUUUACAGCUAAGUCCCACUACGUCCCUUA
Long non-coding RNA from Oxyura jamaicensis (ruddy duck), 1749 nucleotides. RefSeq lists it as uncharacterized. The transcript is spliced from 4 exons. The record is from RefSeq and is a predicted model, not a curated record. Lineage: Eukaryota; Metazoa; Chordata; Aves; Anseriformes; Anatidae.